RNAcentral lists this ribosomal RNA (3308 nucleotides) under Salmonella enterica subsp. enterica serovar Derby. RNAcentral's name for it is "bacterial LSU rRNA". It matches the Rfam family "Bacterial large subunit ribosomal RNA". The record is from RNAcentral. Lineage: Bacteria; Pseudomonadati; Pseudomonadota; Gammaproteobacteria; Enterobacterales; Enterobacteriaceae.
ACUAAGCGUACACGGUGGAUGCCCUGGCAGUCAGAGGCGAUGAAGGACGUGCUAAUCUGCGAUAAGCGCCGGUAAGGUGAUAUGAACCGUUAUAACCGGCGAUUUCCGAAUGGGGAAACCCAGUGUGAUUCGUCACACUAUCAUUAACUGAAUCCAUAGGUUAAUGAGGCGAACCGGGGGAACUGAAACAUCUAAGUACCCCGAGGAAAAGAAAUCAACCGAGAUUCCCCCAGUAGCGGCGAGCGAACGGGGAGGAGCCCAGAGCCUGAAUCAGCAUGUGUGUUAGUGGAAGCGUCUGGAAAGGCGCGCGAUACAGGGUGACAGCCCCGUACACAAAAGCGCAUGUGUUGUGAGCUCGAUGAGUAGGGCGGGACACGUGGUAUCCUGUCUGAAUAUGGGGGGACCAUCCUCCAAGGCUAAAUACUCCUGACUGACCGAUAGUGAACCAGUACCGUGAGGGAAAGGCGAAAAGAACCCCGGCGAGGGGAGUGAAAAAGAACCUGAAACCGUGUACGUACAAGCAGUGGGAGCUGAGGGAAAGGCGAAAAGAACCCCGGCGAGGGGAGUGAAAAAGAACCUGAAACCGUGUACGUACAAGCAGUGGGAGCCCCACCACUAAGCCAGUGGUGAACUCCACAUACGCAUCCUUUGCUGAGGAUACGGUUAACGGAGCGCAAGCGACGUUCAACCGCAAAAGAAGCAGAGGGGGCUUAGUGGUGGGGUGACUGCGUACCUUUUGUAUAAUGGGUCAGCGACUUAUAUUCUGUAGCAAGGUUAACCGUAUAGGGGAGCCGCAGGGUGACUGCGUACCUUUUGUAUAAUGGGUCAGCGACUUAUAUUCUGUAGCAAGGUUAACCGUAUAGGGGAGCCGCAGGGAAACCGAGUCUUAACCGGGCGUUAAGUUGCAGGGUAUAGACCCGAAACCCGGUGAUCUAGCCAUGGGCAGGUUGAAGGUUGGGUAACACUAACUGGAGGACCGAACCGACUAAUGUUGAAAAAUUAGCGGAUGACCUGUGGCUGGGGGUGAAAGGCCAAUCAAACCGGGAGAUAGCUGGUUCUCCCCGAAAGCUAUUUAGGUAGCGCCUCGUGAAUUCAUCUCCGGGGGUAGAGCACUGUUUCGGCUAGGGGGCCAUCCCGGCUUACCAACCCGAUGCAAACUGCGAAUACCGGAGAAUGUUAUCACGGGAGACACACGGCGGGUGCUAACGUCCGUCGUGAAGAGGGAAACAACCCAGACCGCCAGCUAAGGUCCCAAAGUCAUGGUUAAGUGGGAAACGAUGUGGGAAGGCCCAGACAGCCAGGAUGUUGGCUUAGAAGCAGCCAUCAUUUAAAGAAAGCGUAAUAGCUCACUGGUCGAGUCGGCCUGCGCGGAAGAUGUAACGGGGCUAAACCAUGCACCGAAGCUGCGGCAGCGAACGUAUCACUUAAAGCGAUUCAGCGGGUUACGAUUGACGGAGCGAAGCGACGUCAAAGCGUAUACAAAGUCGAGUCGGUUUAAGGAUACGUUCGUUGGGUAGGGGAGCGUUCUGUAAGCCUGUGAAGGUGGCCUGUGAGGGUUGCUGGAGGUAUCAGAAGUGCGAAUGCUGUUGGGUAGGGGAGCGUUCUGUAAGCCUGUGAAGGUGGCCUGUGAGGGUUGCUGGAGGUAUCAGAAGUGCGAAUGCUGACAUAAGUAACGAUAAAGCGGGUGAAAAGCCCGCUCGCCGGAAGACCAAGGGUUCCUGUCCAACGUUAAUCGGGGCAGGGUGAGUCGACCCCUAAGGCGAGGCCGAAAGGCGUAGUCGAUGGGAAACGGGUUAAUAUUCCCGUACUUGGUGUUACUGCGAAGGGGGGACGGAGAAGGCUAUGUUGGCCGGGCGACGGUUGUCCCGGUUUAAGCGUGUAGGUGUGUGUUCCAGGUAAAUCCGGUUCACUUUAACACUGAGGCGUGAUGACGAGGCACUACGGUGCUGAAGCAACAAAUGCCCUGCUUCCAGGAAAAGCCUCUAAGCAUCAGGUAACAUCAAAUCGUACCCCAAACCGACACAGGUGGUCAGGUAGAGAAUACCAAGGCGCUUGAGAGAACUCGGGUGAAGGAACUAGGCAAAAUGGUGCCGUAACUUCGGGAGAAGGCACGCUGACAUGUAGGUGAAGUGAUUUACUCAUGGAGCUGAAGUCAGUCGAAGAUACCAGCUGGCUGCAACUGUUUAUUAAAAACACAGCACUGUGCAAACACGAAAGUGGACGUAUACGGUGUGACGCCUGCCCGGUGCCGGAAGGUUAAUUGAUGGGGUCAGCGCAAGCGAAGCUCCUGAUCGAAGCCCCGGUAAACGGCGGCCGUAACUAUAACGGUCCUAAGGUAGCGAAAUUCCUUGUCGGGUAAGUUCCGACCUGCACGAAUGGCGUAAUGAUGGCCAGGCUGUCUCCACCCGAGACUCAGUGAAAUUGAACUCGCUGUGAAGAUGCAGUGUACCCGCGGCAAGACGGAAAGACCCCGUGAACCUUUACUAUAGCUUGACACUGAACAUUGAGCCUUGAUGUGUAGGAUAGGUGGGAGGCUUUGAAGUGUGGACGCCAGUCUGCAUGGAGCCGACCUUGAAAUACCACCCUUUAAUGUUUGAUGUUCUAACGUGGACCCGUAAUCCGGGUUGCGGACAGUGUCUGGUGGGUAGUUUGACUGGGGCGGUCUCCUCCUAAAGAGUAACGGAGGAGCACGAAGGUUGGCUAAUCCUGGUCGGACAUCAGGAGGUUAGUGCAAUGGCAUAAGCCAGCUUGACUGCGAGCGUGACGGCGCGAGCAGGUGCGAAAGCAGGUCAUAGUGAUCCGGUGGUUCUGAAUGGAAGGGCCAUCGCUCAACGGAUAAAAGGUACUCCGGGGAUAACAGGCUGAUACCGCCCAAGAGUUCAUAUCGACGGCGGUGUUUGGCACCUCGAUGUCGGCUCAUCACAUCCUGGGGCUGAAGUAGGUCCCAAGGGUAUGGCUGUUCGCCAUUUAAAGUGGUACGCGAGCUGGGUUUAGAACGUCGUGAGACAGUUCGGUCCCUAUCUGCCGUGGGCGCUGGAGAACUGAGGGGGGCUGCUCCUAGUACGAGAGGACCGGAGUGGACGCAUCACUGGUGUUCGGGUUGUCAUGCCAAUGGCACUGCCCGGUAGCUAAAUGCGGAAGAGAUAAGUGCUGAAAGCAUCUAAGCACGAAACUUGCCCCGAGAUGAGUUCUCCCUGAGACUUAAAGUCUCCUGAAGGAACGUUGAAGACGACGACGUUGAUAGGCCGGGUGUGUAAGCGCAGCGAUGCGUUGAGCUAACCGGUACUAAUGAACCGUGAGGCUUAACC